RNAcentral lists this long non-coding RNA (966 nucleotides) under Fukomys damarensis (Damara mole-rat). RNAcentral's name for it is "lncRNA (ENSFDAG00000030000.1)". Lineage: Eukaryota; Metazoa; Chordata; Mammalia; Rodentia; Bathyergidae. The record is from RNAcentral.
CGUGGUGGUGCACGACGGCCGGAGGCGGGAAAAGAUCUUCGACUCCAGAGGGGGCGGAUGCGCGCACCAGUUCGGAGAGAAGGGGGACGCCGCGCAGGACGUUCGGUACGCGCUGGACGUCGCCGUCACCUUCGACUGCCACGUGGUUGUCACCGACGCGGGCGACCGCUCCGUCAAAGUGUUUGACUUUUUGGGCCAGGUCAGGCUUGUCAUUGGAGGCCAGUUCACCUUAAGAUCUUCGACUCCAGAGGGGGCGGAUGCGCGCACCAGUUCGGAGAGAAGGGGGACGCCGCGCAGGACGUUCGGUACGCGCUGGACGUCGCCGUCACCUUCGACUGCCACGUGGUUGUCACCGACGCGGGCGACCGCUCCGUCAAAGUGUUUGACUUUUUGGGCCAGGUCAGGCUUGUCAUUGGAGGCCAGUUCACCUUACCGUGGGGCGUGGAGGCCACGCCUCAGAACGGGGUCCUGGUCACUGAUGCUGAGGCCGGGUCCCUACACCUUGUGGAAGCGGACUUCCCCGAAGGGGUCCUGCGGAGAAACGAAAGGCUGUACACUCACCUGUGCGGCCCCCGAAGCGUGGCCGUGUCCUGGCUCAGCGGGGCCAUCGCCGUCCUGGAGCACCCCAUGUCCGCGGGGACCCAGCCCUGCAGCACCAGGGUGAAGGUGUUCAGCGCGAGCAUGCAGCUCCUCAGCCAGGUGGACACCUUCGGGCUGAGCCUCUUCUUUCCCUCCCAGAUAACUGCUUCCGCUGUGGCCUUUGAUCAGCAGGGGAAUGUGAUCGUGGCCGAUACCUCGGGACCAGCCAUCCUAUGCCUAGGAAAACCCGAGGAGUUCCCAGUGCUGAAGCCCAUGGUCACCCAAGGGCUUGCCCACCCCGUGGCACUGGCCUUCACCAAGAAUUCAUUGCUCGUGCUGGAUGCUGCGUCCCAUUCUGUAAAAGUCUACAAGGUUGACCGGGGGUGA